Molecule: transfer RNA, 76 nt
Filed under: Anaerolineae bacterium
Lineage: Bacteria; Bacillati; Chloroflexota; Anaerolineae
Description: tRNA-Val
Rfam family: tRNA
About the family: Transfer RNA (tRNA) molecules are approximately 80 nucleotides in length. Their secondary structure includes four short double-helical elements and three loops (D, anti-codon, and T loops).
Source: RNAcentral
GGGCUGUUAGCUCAACUGGCAGAGCGUCUCGUUGACGUCGAGAAGGUUAGAGGUUCGAGUCCUCUACAGCCCACCA